RNAcentral lists this ribosomal RNA (253 nucleotides) under uncultured bacterium. RNAcentral's name for it is "partial 16S ribosomal RNA". It matches the Rfam family "Bacterial small subunit ribosomal RNA", at positions 524 to 776 of the family's 1533-position model. The record is from RNAcentral.
UACGUAGGGGGCAAGCGUUGUCCGGAUUUAUUGGGCGUAAAGAGCGUGUAGGCGGUCAGUCAGGUCCGGUGUGAAAACUCGAGGCUCAACCUCGAGACGCCGAUGGAAACCGUCUGGCUAGAGUCCGGAAGAGGAGAGUGGAAUUCCUGGUGUAGCGGUGAAAUGCGCAGAUAUCAGGAAGAACACCCGUGGCUAAGGCGGCUCUCUAGUACGGUACUGACGCUGAGACGCGAAAGCGUGGGGAGCGAACAGG